AGCAGCCGCGGUAAUUCCAGCUCCAAUAGCGUAUAUUAAAGUUGUUGCAGUUAAAAAGCUCGUAGUUGAAUUUCGGGAUCAAUACGUCUGUCGUGCCUUUGGUACGUACGGGUGUAAUUGGUUUCUACCUUCUGGGGAUCCUUGAUGUCAUUAAUUUGGUGUCUUGGGGAAUCAGGACUGUUACCUUGAAAAAAUUAGAGUGUUUAAAGCAGGCAUACGCUUGAAUACAUUAGCAUGGAAUAAUGAAAUAGGACGUUCGAUUCUAUUUUGUUGGUUUCUAGGAUCGACGUAAUGAUUAAUAGGGAUAGUUGGGGGCAUUAGUAUUCAAUUGUCAGAGGUGAAAUUCUUGGAUUUAUUGAAGACUAACUACUGCGAAAGCAUUUGCCAAGGAUGUUUUCAUUAAUCAAGAACGAAGGUUAGGGGAUCGAAGACGAUCAGAUACCGUCGUAG
Molecule: ribosomal RNA, 450 nt
Filed under: uncultured Glomeromycotina
Lineage: Eukaryota; Fungi; Glomeromycota
Description: SSU rRNA
Rfam family: Eukaryotic small subunit ribosomal RNA
Source: RNAcentral